This is a long non-coding RNA of Lolium rigidum, 1622 nucleotides long. RefSeq lists it as uncharacterized. The transcript has 4 exons. Lineage: Eukaryota; Viridiplantae; Streptophyta; Magnoliopsida; Poales; Poaceae. The record is from RefSeq and is a predicted model, not a curated record.
UCUUCAGGGACCGUGCGCCAAGGGUUGAGGUGUGCUUCUGGUUCACCUUCUGCAGAUUCGAUUUGUUUGGCUAUAUUAUGCCUUCUUCUCCUGGGAUUCGAUUCUUUCUGUUUAAACCUUGCUUUUGUUCCUAUCCCCGACCAUGGUCUUGUCUUCUUCUUGUUUUUCAAGCUUUGCUCCUCCCUGUUCGAUUUUGGAGGCGUUCCUUUUGUUUCUAUCUCCUUCUGAGAUUUAGUCUUCUUCUUGUUCUUUUCGUCUUAGUUCUGAACUGUUGUCUUGAAGCGUUUUGGGUGAACUUCUGGUUUCCUUUAGAUCUCGCAUCUUCUGUGGCUCUUCCAUUUCUCUUUUUGCAGGUCAACAUCUUGCUGGGAAUUUACAGCUUGGGUGGACGCGGCUGCUUUCCUCGGUUCAGUGUUCGGCUGUGUUGGUGGCUAUUUGGCCUUAAAGUGGCAAUUACCGCCCUAUAGAGGAGAAUUUCCAGGACUUUUCGGUUGUUAGUGUCACACAGCUGCAGAAUGAUUGGAGUGGUUCAAAUGUUUUGGAAACUAGAUGUCUUUCUACUACAGAAAAUUCAAACUAUUAAGGGCAGAACUACUUCCUUUCUGGUGUUUUCCAUGGUGUGAUUAUACCAUGUUUUGCCGUCUCUCUGACAAGAUCACGCUGCUGUCACAACCCUUUCUUGGGAUGAUCAUGGCGUCACUGGCUGGAUGAGCUUUAAGGUAGUUGAUAAUGUUCUACUUUUCAGGUUUGUUGGCUUCGAGUACAGCCAAAUAUUAUGCAGAUUUUUUUUAGUUCAUGAGAAUAUGUAGGAAGUCUGAUUAACAAUCUGCAGUAAUUUACCAUUUUCCUUAUAGCCAGUAUCCAUUGGUGUGUUUUAUGUUAUUUGUCUGUCAUAAGAGGACCACUUUAAUUAUUACAACUCCAGUUGCGUUUUUUGGUUCAGAGAAAUUACUUUUAUUGUAUCUUCGAGGGAAUAUGCUUUAAUGCGAGGAAAUUACUGGAGGUCCUUCCUAUAUUAUGUGUGGUGAAUUUGUAGAUGAUCUGAUAGAUAAAUAAUGGUUAUGUUUCUUCUCAUCCACUCUGCCGGUUCCAUUACUGACAUGGUAGAUGGUUACAUUUUUUUGAUUUUGUGUGACACCCAUGUAAAGAUCAAGUAAAGGUACUUUAAUAUUUUCAUUUCAAAGGAAUUGUUUUCCUCGCCUCACAAUGGCUUUAUCUUAGCGAGUGUUUCUAUCUUCUUAUCUUCUGUUGUUUUUUUGCUUGGUUCCUAUUUGCUGCUCGGUGUUCUUUCCCUACCUUAAGACAAUGAUAUAGUUCCUGGCAAACACCUAUAUAUGACUAGCUCUCUGCUACAUAGGUACUUCUUUGUAUUUGUCUUUACAGUGCAUUUUUGUGACCCGUGGAUUGUACACUUACAUGCCUAAUCUGGUACUUGAUUGUGCCUUUUUAGGGUGUACUUGGACUAGAAAAGUUUAAUGUUCUUUGAUGCAAUAUAUAUGCUGUUGCUAGCAUGUCAGGUUAGUGGCAUCUAAGUAAUACUAUGUAUUACUAUGGCAGUAUGGCGAGAUUACAUAGACUGUAUGACAGACUAAAUUUUAUUAGUAUUAGUAUGUACAUGCUGA